AACGAACGCUGGCGGCAUGCCUAACACAUGCAAGUCGAACGAGACCUUCGGGUCUAGUGGCGCACGGGUGCGUAACGCGUGGGAACCUGCCCUUAGGUUCGGAAUAACUCCCCGAAAGGGGUGCUAAUACCGGAUAAUGUCUUCGGACCAAAGAUUUAUCGCCCUUGGCUGGGCCCGGGUUGGAUUAGCUAGUUGGUAGGGUAAAAGCCUACCAAGGCGACGAUCCAUAGAUGGUUUGAGAGGAUGAUCAGCCACACUGGGACUGAGACACGGCCCAGACUCCUACGAGAGGCAGCAGUGGGGAAUAUUGGACAAUGGGCGAAAGCCUGAUCCAGCAAUGCCGCGUGAGUGAUGAAGGCCUUAGGGUUGUAAAGCUCUUUUACCCGGGAUGAUAAUGACAGUACCGGGAGAAUAAGCUCCGGCUAACUACGUG
This 433-nucleotide ribosomal RNA is filed under the name uncultured bacterium. Its description in RNAcentral is "partial 16S ribosomal RNA". It matches the Rfam family "Bacterial small subunit ribosomal RNA", at positions 29 to 507 of the family's 1533-position model. The record is from RNAcentral.